Molecule: ribosomal RNA, 523 nt
Filed under: Minettia austriaca
Lineage: Eukaryota; Metazoa; Arthropoda; Insecta; Diptera; Lauxaniidae
Description: partial 16S ribosomal RNA
Rfam family: Bacterial large subunit ribosomal RNA
Source: RNAcentral
GGAAUGAAACUAGUCUACCUGCCCACUGAAAUUUUAAAUGGCCGCAGUAUAUUAACUGUGCAAAGGUAGCAUAAUCAUUAGUCUUUUAAUUGAAGGCUGGAAUGAAUGGUUGGACGAGAUAUUAACUGUUUCAAAUAAAUUUAUUAAAGAAUUUUAUUUUUUAGUCAAAAAGCUAAAAUUUUUUUAAAAGACGAGAAGACCCUAUAAAUCUUUAUAAUUUAUUUAUUAUAAUAAUAAAGAAUAAUUUUUUUAUGAUAAAUUAAAUUAUUUUAUUGGGGUGAUAUUAAAAUUUAAUGAACUUUUAAUUAGUUAAAUCAUUAAUUUAUGAAUUUUUGAUCCAAUUUUAUUGAUUAAAAAUUUAAGUUACUUUAGGGAUAACAGCGUAAUUUUUUUGGAGAGUUCAUAUCGAUAAAAAAGAUUGCGACCUCGAUGUUGGAUUAAGAGAUAUAUUUAGGUGUAGCCGCUUAAAUGAUUAAGUCUGUUCGACUUUUAAAUUCUUACGUGAUCUGUUUUAAAACCCGGA